This 18467-nucleotide long non-coding RNA is filed under the name Capsicum annuum. RNAcentral's name for it is "long non-coding RNA (CANN_LNC005519)". The record is from RNAcentral. Lineage: Eukaryota; Viridiplantae; Streptophyta; Magnoliopsida; Solanales; Solanaceae.
UUUUUUUUUAGAAUCAAGUGUCCCUUUUAAUAUUUUUUAUUAAAAAAGAACCUUUUUGGCUCCGGACUCUUAUAUAGUGGUAUUUGAUGGUGGAUGAUCAAAUUAGUGGCAGUAUUUUUGCUAUUGAUAGUAUUAUAAUUUUGGUGGUGAAAAAGAGAAUUGUCAUGAUUAUUAUUAUUAAUUUCAAAAAUGACAAUGGUGGUAGUUUAGUUUGGGUGACCGUGAAAUUUACAUGGGCUAUGACUUUCAUAUCAGUAUGGUGGUGUGUUGAUAUUUUGGGGUUCUUGUAACUUUUGAUGGGUGCAAUAAUAGUAUUGUGGUUCCAAUGAUGAAUCUGGUUAUUGGUCCUCAAUUUCGUGGUGACGAUGGUAAUAGUCCAUUAUUCGAUUUUUGGUAGUUGGAUUUAAUAGUGAGUGAUGAAAAUUGUGUUAGUUAUGCAGUGAAAUAUAAGGAUUGACUGAUGGUGCAGCAGACGAUAGUGGCUUCGGUUGUAUAGUGAAGUAGAAGCAAUUGGUAGGGGGGUAGGGGAGGAUACGGCAUCUAAUGCAACAAGUGACGUAUAUGCGACUGGUUAUAUAUGUUAGAACAAUGUUAAUUCCACUUAAAAUAACAAAAUCAUUAGAUCAAUUGGAGUAAGAAGUUGAGACUCAAAAAGCGUUUGAAGCGUCUCUCAAUGAAUCAACAAGAGAGAGAUUCUUAUAAACUACAAUAGAGAAGCUCGUAUUUACAAGAUGUGGAGUACUCUCUCUUGGUAGGCUAUUACACACUGCCUACUUUCGAAACUCCAUAAAGUACCACUCUCUAAUGAAAGCACACACCUACAAAGCAUAUUAGUAAAUAUAGCAAACAGUAGCAAAUAUCACUUUGAAAGCGAGAGGGAAAUGGAAGGGGAGGGAUGCGGCAGUUGGAGCAAAGACCCAUUGUUUUACCUACCAAUCUGUGAUGAAGAAAAGCACGAGAGAACGCCCUCUCCUUGCAAGGCUAGAUAGAGUUGUGAAUGUAAAUUACUAGGUAGCGCCCAAAAGCCCUGUGCCUUUUGUGGUCGGACAAACCAGGCCAGCAAUUUCCGACAAGUCUUAAAGUCACACAGAUAUAUUUGUAAGCAAUAGAUCAGAACACAAGGGAAUGAAUAGCAAGUGUGUUGCUCUAUGACUGCAACAAGUACCUGUAUUAGCCUUCCGCCAAUUUCUUCACCAAAAAAGGCGGUAUGAUACCUAAGAACUGCACAGUUGCCUACAUAUAGGGGCAAAGGUCAAAAAAUUCAUCUGAUAGUGUCCAUAUUUAAGGUAUAUAGAGAAACCAGCUACACUCAAUUUGAUGUGCAAAGAAGAAAAAAUUCUCCAGCAAAGGAUCAGAUAAUUGCUUCAAGCUAAAUAUUUGAACAAAUUUGGGUUCUCUUUGUCUCUCUCCAGGUAAUCUCUAGUGAUGAGAUCUUCAAUUCGCUUUUUGAUUGCUUUGAAAUCAGGCUACACAAAUACGCAAAAUGAUUGAUAUUAAUAUAAAAUGCUCAAUCUCUAUAACUAGAAGUGAUAACUAUCUGCAAGAUAAAGGAAAGUUCAAGAUUGCAAGACACUUGCACAGGAAAUAAAGGCUCAAAUAAGGGAAGUUCAAGAUUGCUACACACUUGAAAAGGACCUAGAGGCUCAUAAAACAAUCUGAAUGUGAGGAGGUCAUGUAUUGGAUGGGGGCACAGCAACAUCAUUAAAACUUUAAGCACAAAGCGCAAUCGUAUUUUGCCCUUGUUCAUCUCUGAUCUCACAUACAAGUUUUGAGUCUGUAGGAAAUUCUAGCUUCUCGAGAACAUGAAUUCUCAAAGGUAAUGAACUAAAAAUCACGUGACCCGCAACACUUGUUUUCCCUCAAGUAAUACCACUUCUUUUAUGACCAACAUCACUUAACCCAUUGAGGAAGUAUGAACACCAGAUAAUAUCCAAAAAAACACUAUAGACAAAAGGGGGUUCGCCUCCUCUCUUCAUCUCGUGUUACAUCGGUUAAAAAGAAAAUGAAAAUGACAGAGAAACAAAUGGCAAAAAACAAAACGAACUACCUAUACAAAUUGCUGUCCAAAUUGACCAAUUAACAGAAUGAAAUUGGAAAUGGAAGAUUGUUACCAGAUAAUAUAUUUAGAGGUGUGAAAAACUAUUGAAAGAUAUCUCUCAACCUAAAGAUGCUUCGUCUCAACAGUACUAUAAUAAUGUCCAGAAAGUCGAGGUUAAGAAAUUCGAAGUGCGUUUUGGUCUCAGAAAGCAAAAUUGUGGAACAAGUUGUGAUGGGAGGCAAUUAGAAGAUUGACAGAAAAGGUAAAACUGGUGUUUGUCAUUCUGCAAGUUAUAUUCAUUGGGUAUCAUUCUGCAAGUUAUAUUCAUUGGGUAGGAAAACCAACAAUCACACUUUAAGUCAAAUAAGACCAUUUUUUAAAAUAUAAUAAUAACAAUAGAAGUACAAGACACUGUCACAAACCUAAAAAUAAAGAAAACCCCUUCAACUAUUUUACCGACAUAUUUAAAUCUUUAAGAUUACUUUCAACACCACGAUCCCGAUAUAGACCAUGAUCCUGAAAGAAAGUUGUUGAGUAUUGAGAUGACAUGACAGGUGUAAUCCAAGUUAUGAACAACUUUUAAAACAAACAAAAAACUGCCAAGUUAUCUGCCGUGAUGAGCCUAGAAUGUAUAACCUUCAAUUUCUUUAUUGUCAAGCUGGAAAACAUCGAAUACAGUGUCAUAAAUAGCCUUCCAGUAUCAAAUUGAAUACCAUGGUUACAAGAGCAUGCAAAUCAUAUUGACCUUCCAAAAAUGAUUUAUUUCAUCCUAGAAAAUCCAAAAAAAUGGUGCAUACCUUAAACAUUCGGCUCAACUGCUCAACACACUCCAACACUAGUUGCUGAUGAGGAAGAACUUUUCGACUCUUCAUAAUGCGCACAAUACAGGCAUCAAUAGCAUAACGUCUAUCUUUGUCUACAUCCUCAACCACUUUUUUCCUUUCAUCCACAGGAGGUAAUGGAACCUGGAUGGUGCAAAUAGAACAUGCCAUUAGGAAUAGGUGUCUAGUGUGCGGUCAAAGAAGGAAGCAUCAUUGAAAAAUACAGAGUUCUUUAUCUAUACCCUAAUCCGCCUCAUCCUGUCAGUGAAUUUGGAGUUGAAUGCAAAAUGAUCAGAUGGCGAAACAAUUCUAUUACUAGGCUCCUUAGUCAGAAUUUUAUACUUGGCACAUGAAAGGGAUUGAAGCAAUCUGAUCAAGUCAUCAUCAGCCAGAUUUAACUGACUCUUGAUUUCGGAGUAACUCAAUCUAUCUGAAGCAUUAAACAACAGAAGAACAGCAGCCUGAAAAAAACGGCAAUCAUAAAUCCAAAGGUGGACUGUAACCAAGAGGGAUAUUUUAAUGGAAUUGUUAAGACGGAGUAGUCACCUGAUAAGUUCCCAGAAUCAGUUCGAUGGUUUUGGACUCGAACUUCCCAUUGAUGUUACACGUACCCAAUGAAUAAAUCCAUGUCAAUUUCCUGUGUUUUGUUUUUGUCUGAUAGAACUCCUUGAAGACUUCCACACACUUUACCUGAGGGUAAAUGACACAACAGCUAGGCCAUUCAUUAAUUCAGAAGAAAAACCUCAAAUCAGCAACAGAAAAGAGGAUUUUCAAAUUAUCAAGAAAAGCUCCUCUUACCAUUUCCGCAGGGAGACUCAAAUCAGACGACUUGUAACUAGGCCAGAACCCAGUUGUAAGAACUGUGACAGUUAAAUCAAUUCCAGGACUUGCUGCAGCGUUGUUGCUGAGAUAUUCUUGAAAAUUGUUCUGACUUUCCCUAGCCAACGUCAAGUCUGUCACCUGUUUUGCAGUUACCAACCACAGGUUUUAAUAAGACAUUUGAAAGGGGAUGGGAUAAACUAUGAAAAGAUGUUGUGUUUCCUCACCAUUCCCUCCAUCUUUGACGUAAACUGUCCACCACACUGUUGCUUUAACUUUGUUAAGAUGAGCCUUUCGUGGUCAUCACUGGCACUUUUAUCAAAGAGCAAUCGACGAGAAAGCUUCUUCCUAUCAUACCAAGAUAAUGAACAUUCCAAAAGGUAAAUGAAGAUUCAACCUAUAACACCAAGGUAACUAUAUCAAGAGACUGUUGAACUGUCUACCCACCUGUAGAACUCCGCAAAAAGGUCUUUGUCACUAAUGUAUGCAAGAAGCUUGACCACCUACAAAAAUUCAAACCAUAUUAUGAUAUCGUUUGGCCGAAAGAUGAACUUUCCAGGAAGUGGAGUGAUUUGAAGUCGUGCUAUACCUUAUCCAAGGUCUCCUCAAUGGCAUCAUCACUGAGUUUUUCACUCCCACCUUUCUUAAGAAUAUUAUCACAAUAAGAAGCAAGGAGCUCUGCACUUGAACAACCAGACACAAUCUUGUUACAGAAGACCUCAAAUGCCUCCUUGAGAGCCUAUAUAUGUCAAACUUUAGACAUCAGAAACACUGACUGACAAAUAAUUUAAAGUACAAAAAAAACCAACAAUUGUUAACAACAGAAUAUACCUUAUGAAAGAGAGAGUUAUUAGCAAAACAGUCCGUAACAUAAGCCAGAUACUUAUCGUGAAGCUCAAUCAACUUUCUAACAAAGACCUGCGGAAGGUAUGGAAUCCAUGGUUAGAAGAAUUUACAUUACACAAAAGUGAAAAAAAAAAGGAAUAUGGUUUUACCUGCUCUCCUGAGCCUGAACUUUCGGCCUGUGCAGAAAAAACAUAAACACUUCAAAUAGAAACACUAGUAAAUUUCUUCCAACGAACAAAAAUUUAUUGAACCCACAAGGACAGCAAGGCUGGAAAAGACUUCUCAUAUAUAUGUGUGUACUUAUUUCUACAAAUGCUUUCAACUCUAGCCAAAAGUUUUUGUUCUCUAAAAGAAAGUGGUGUAUCAUGCAUACCCUCUCCCCCGCUGUUUUUUCCUAUUCACCAUUUAAAUAGACUUCAUUUCGCAUGCAAUUAACAGAUAAUCAUCGUUUUUAAGUGAAACCGUUAAAAACGUGAAACAAGAAGAAAGACAAUUCACCUUGCUAUUUGUCGUCUCUUCAGCCUGCUGNNNNNNNNNNNNNNNNNNNNNNNNNNNNNNNNNNNNNNNNNNNNNNNNNNNNNNNNNNNNNNNNNNNNNNNNNNNNNNNNNNNNNNNNNNNNNNNNNNNNNNNNNNNNNNNNNNNNNNNNNNNNNNNNNNNNNNNNNNNNNNNNNNNNNNNNNNNNNNNNNNNNNNNNNNNNNNNNNNNNNNNNNNNNNNNNNNNNNNNNNNNNNNNNNNNNNNNNNNNNNNAUGCCUUCAGCAAUGACAUGCUGCAAAAAUAUUUAUAGUCAGCAGAUGUUAAGCCAAACUUACAAAACUAGAUAAAUAAUUCUUUUGUUGCUCAGUAAUUGGCACAGAAUGAUAGAAAAUAAAAGUACCUGUUUAAACAUAUUUGAAACAGGUUCCAAUCCCUUGGGGAUUCUGAGGAAUAACCUAUACAUUCGAGAUAGAUCCUCUACCUGAGUGUACAAAAGAGAGUGCGACAUUGAAUUUCUGUAAAAUAUAUCGAAACUUCCAAAAAACUAAUGGUGAAGAGCAACACAAGAAUUCAAUACCUUAUCAUCUCUAAGCAAUGCUCGGCAUCCAGAAUGCUCUUUCUCAAGUAACUGAAUGGUGUAUACAACCAACAAUUCAUUUUGCACUUUCUGCAUCAUAAAUUAGGUCCCAGCAUUGGAAACAAAUCCAACUAAAGAAAUACUAUCAACAUGUAAAUAGUCUGAAUUUCCAACAUUAGAAAUCAAGCAUACAUCGGGCGAAUACUUUAAAGCAAUGACAUAAAUAAUAAGUGCACCAUAGAAAAAUGAAACUGACAACUUCAGUUUUCACAUUUUAUCUCCCUGAACAAAAUUAAAAAGACCAUGACCAACCCACCACCUAAUCAGUAUGUUUCACUCGAACCAAGAAAAAGAUGCGCGUUAGGUAAUAUCACACUUGAGAAUUGUGCACCCAUGGAUUUUAUUUUACAACUCAAAUACAUUUGCUAAUACUAAUAUAUAUGGAACCUUUUAGAAUUAUGCACUCAUGGAUAUGGGGUACACGUGCAACCCACAUACCCAUAGACUAAUAUCACAAACAAGAAGCAACAUCUCCCUGUGAAGGAGAGGGGCUAUUUGAAACUUCCAACUCCAACUCCCCCACCCCCACCCUCCCACCGAAGAGAAAUGAUAAGUUGAAUAAGUUAUUAGAAGACAGAAAACAAUGGAAACACAACCACUGUACAAUGAGGUAUACAACAACCAACAAAGAAAUGCAUAAAUACAACCUUGGGAGGUAAUCCCUAUAAGCUUCUCUUCAAAAGGUUUUAGAACAAAAUUAGAAAUUAACAAAGCAUUCGUUACACAGACUUGUAACAAUUAAAUCACCAUUUUUUAUUGUUUUAUAACCGUGGAGUCCGAGCCAACUUGCGCGCACCUUCACUAAUUCCCAAGGGCACCGGCUACCUGCCCCCUCAUAACACAAAAUCACACAGUAUUUAUCUAAGAUCAAAUCCUUUAAAAGUUAAGAUUUCAAGUUGCGAAGCAAAUUCUGAUGCUCACCUCUAGAAGUUUUGUCUCACUACUAACAUGGAGAUAAUGAGACACUCUAUCCUUUUCUUUCUUCAAGCACUCCUCUGCCUGUGUUAGCAAAGCAUAGGUAUCAGUAUCACAAUUUUCUGUAACAAUUUAAAGCAAUAACCAAACAAUUUAUGAGCUCGUGGCAAUUAUAAAAUGAAUUGUACCUUCAACAUAUAAUCUGGACAAGAAUCUUCCACGAUCCAACUUGAAGCUUUCCGAGAAUAGUAAGCUGCAGUAUCUUUAAGCAUUGGAUCUUCAAAGUCAAUUUCAUAAUACUCCAUUUCCCCCAUUCCAAUUCCAACAAAUAUAUCAAGCACAUUCUUCAAUAAACCUCUGUCAAUCUGCUCACCCUCGCGUUCUUGAUCAAUCUAAUACAAAAGGACUCUUAAUCAAACCCCCAUAAGUAGCAAAUAGUAUUGCAAGAGUUGGGAUCAACUGGAAGUAGGAAGAAACAAAAAACAACAUGAGGAUAUGAUACUUGCCAACACAAUAACUGCAUCUCUAGCUUUACCCUUCAACUCCUGAUAAACCUAUUGUCAACAAAACAGGAAUAAAUUUCCCACACAUCAAAGAUAUGAAGAAACCAAAAAAGGAAAAAGACAAUUAUGUUGCCAAAAAUUAUAUAUGAGAUGCAAGAAACAAACCAGAUCACGAAAGCACGUCAGACCAACUUCAUUAAGUGCAGGUAGCGACCUUCGGGCAAUAAAAUAUCGGUCGAGAUAAUGGAAGAAUCGUGAGAGCCACCUAACCAUAAGUUUAUGAUUUGCCCAUCUUUUCACAAACUCCAUCAACAUAAACUCAUCGUGCUUCUCUCUUAAAGAAGGCAGAACCUAAUAAAGAAAAAUACAAAUUGAAAAAUUGAACAGCAAUAUCAAAAGCAGGUAGAAUAAAUUUCACAACAUAGUGGAACUUCAAUUUAUCCACAUAUACUGUUUUCAAAUUAGAUAAAGUAAAUGUUAACUAGGAUUUCAUCAACUUAAUAUUCUCAAACAGCCACCCAGUUGAACAUACAUCCACCAUUACGGCUCAAAUCAAGCACAUGUCAGUUAUACCAAAUAUAAUAACACCAAAAAUUUCCUGACCAAACUCAAGUUCUACUCAUUAACUGCCUAACUAGAAGUAUAACUCGACCAACAAGUCAGCCAAUUGCAUGGAAGUAAAUAUAUGUGCCUCAUUACAAAGCUAACCAUCAGCUAAUAACUUUUCAACACCUAAUUAUCAUGAGAAAGAGAGUCGAUGCUUCUUACAGUAGAAUUGAUAUAUUCUUCAAAUGCUUCCUUGUACUUCUCAUACAACUGCUGCGAGUAAUCAUUUGGCGGUUUUUGUGUACACAUGUUAUAUAUGGUUCUACACUUCAAUUAAGGAAAAACUUCCUCCCAUGUCAAGAGUAGCUCACUUAUAACCAAAUUGUUAGUUGUUUUAAGACCACCAUGAGAGUAAAGUGGUUGUAGGCAGUUUCAUAUUUUAAAGAUUGAAUAUAUAAAAUAAUGUGUAUAUAUAUAUUAAAGAACAAAUAUGCUUAUAUAUAAAGACACUUUAAGCACAAAGAACCCUAAGGAUACGUGUAGAGCAUCAUGUACUCCUCGGAGCUGAAAGAAUGUUGCUGUCCUUCCAAAAAUUUCUUCAAUUUUAUGAUUCCCUUCUGCAUAAACUCCCAUCCUUCAUCCAACUCAAUAAUCUUCAGCUGGGCCAUUGCCAUCUUAGGAACACGUAUGUUAUGACCACCUGAAUAUGAGCAAUUGAAAACCACAUGUAAUCACAACAUUACAUCAUAUAACCAGCACCAUAACCUAUCCUUUUAUCAUUCUUCAUCUAAGUAUUUAUUGAAGCGAAAUUCUUUCUGCUAAUUUUGGUUUGACUGUUUUGUUUUUGGUUAAUUUCAUUAGGAAUUGCAUGAAUUUAAUAGCUUAAAAUAUAUAUUAACACAUAAUUGGUCAAUAAUUAUGAACAUACAAAAUUGAUCAAGAUAUUCGCUCAAUCUAAAACCGUUGAAAAGUUAAUUGCAUGAAUUUAAUAGCUUAAUAUUUAUCAAGGCAUAAUAGGUAAUAAAUUAUGAAAAUACAAACACGGUACUCAUUAUUCUAUACUAAAACGCAAUCAAACCAUCAAUAAAAAUGCCAAUAAGCUGAAACAUUAUGAUACAUUAUGAAACAAUACAAUAGGUAAUGACUAUUCAAACAAGCUGUCCGCAUGACCUUAAACCCUAGAAAAGUUAAUUGCAUGAAUUUAAGAGCUCAAAAUGUUUAUUAAGGCAUAACAGGUAAUAAAUUAUGAAAAUACAACCUUAGUAGUCACUAUUCUAUACUAAAACACAGUCAAACACUUACUCCUUUCCCUUUUGCACCUGCCUUGUCGAAGUAGAAGAUGUGGCAUUAAUUCAAAAAUACUUUCUUAAAGUGGUCAUGAUACAAUCUAUUCAAACAUACAUGAUAUUAAACCCUAGAAAAGUUAAUUGUGUGAAUUUAAUAUCUCAAUAUAUUUAUUAACACAUAUUGGUAAUAAAUUAUGAAAAUACAAACUCAGUACUCACUAUUCUAUACUAAAACAGAGUCAAAACCAUCAAUAAAAAUGCCGGUAAACCACAAAGAAUGAUACAAUAUAUUUCAAACAUACAAUACAUUACGAAACAAUGAUACGACGGAUAACGACUAUCCAAACAAGAGAUGGCACGAUCUUAAACCCUACAAAAAUUAAUUGCAUGAACUCAAUAGUGAAUCUUGAAUUCAAUAUUUUUAAGGCAUAAUUGGUAAUAAAUUGUGAGAAUACAAACUUAGUAGUCAAUAUUCUACACUAAAACACGGUCAAGGCAUCAAUAAAAAUGUCCAUAAACUACAGCAAAAUGAUACAAUCCAUUCAAACAUACAUACAUUACGAAACAAUACGAUCAGUAACAACUAUCGAAACAAAAUAUCUGCACAAUCCUAAACCCUAGAAAAGUUAAUUGCACGAAUUUAAUAGCUUAAAAUACCAUAUUCUGCCUAAAACAGAGUCAAAACCAUUAAUAAAAAUGCCAGUAAACGACAACAAACAAUACAAUAUAUUAAAAUUAUGAAACAAUACGAUCAUAAACCCUAGAAAAAUUAACAACCACAACAACGAUUAAUCGCAAAACAAAACUAAAUCAAUAAUAAUAAUGCCAUAGUCGUUUUACCAGAACGGUAGAAAAGGAUCGAUCACCAGAGAGCAAGCUGAAUUACAAUCGCCGAGAGACUGAGAAAAAAUGCGAUAAAAAAAUAGUAAAGAGAAAAAGAUCACUGAAUUUACAGUUACAAAAUUGAGGCGGUUUAGUUUCAAUGAAAUUCACCUCUUUAAAAGAGUCCAGAUUUCUCUUGUAACCUAUGUGGAGACUUACUUUCUAUUUUUAUUUGGUUUUCAGAAUAUACGACCAAUCAUAUCGUAUAUCGUAUUUUCGUUUUAUAUUAGAAAAAGUGAUUUUAACAUGCCAUCUAUUUAAAAAAAAAAAUUAUAAGUUUAGAUUAGAAAUUUUUUGCGUCUUUUUUGGUAUACCUAUCAAAAAUUUUAAAAUAAAAUCCUUUAUUUUUUCAUUAAUUACAGAAUAUGUCAUUCAAGAAAUUUAUCAUAAAUGUCAUUGCAUUUAUCAUCUAUUUUUCAUUUUUAUUUAUUUAUUUAUUUAUUUAUUUUUAAAAGAUAUAAUUAUUCUAUAAAAUUGUAUGUCUCAUUGUAUUUAGAAUUUUUUUUCUCAUUGUAUUUGGAAUUUUUUUUUCAAAUCAUUGUAUUUAGGAUGAAGGUGAGAAUUUACAUGUUACUUUUGUUUAGGUUAUAUAAAAAAUUUUGAAAUAUAUUAUAUUUAAGUAAAUUGAUUAAUAAGGUAAUAAUUUAUUGUAAUAAUUAAUAUGAUGAAUAUAACUAAAUACAUUUUAUUCUUUAUUUACAUUUCAUGUCAAACAUAUAAUUUGCUUUCUUCCUUAUUUGCUUCAUGAAAUACAAAUUUGCCUAAUUUAAAUUUGUAAUGUAAAAUUAAUAAAGCUAAUUUAGUAAAAUAAAUUUUUAAUAAAUAUUUUUUAAAAAUUUGUGUCGAGUCAAUAUAUACCAACAAAAAGAAACUAAAGAAAAAUACCUAACAAGAUUUUACUUAUGUAAGGUUAAACAUAAUUCGUAACGAAAUAAUAAUAAUUGGUUAUUUUUGUAUAUGCAAAUAAUAUUAUCCAUAUUGAAUUAAGCAUAUUAUUCCUACAAGUUAAUUUAUUUUUUAAUUAAAACUUUGAGCAUUAAUUAUUUGUUGGAUUGUAGUUAUUUUAAUCACCUCAAACUCAAAGCAAAAAUUUGUAAUAUUUCAUUUUAAAAUAACUUAAUAUAUAAAAUAUAUUUUACUCGUAUAACUUAUUUAAUCAAUUUGAUAUUUUUCUUGAUUUAUCUAAAACCUAUUGAAUUAUGAUUUUAACUAAAUAAACCAAAUAAUUGGUAUUUCUUGAUUUUUCAAAAUUCACCAACAUUCCUGUAUCACUCCUGAUUAAUUAUUAUAGCAAUUUAUAUAUUAAAAAAUUAAUAUUAAAAAAUAAAAUAGAUAUUUAUGACAUUAAUGCUUCAAUCAUAAUUUUACUAUAUAGCCUCUAAUUAAUUAUUAUAAAUCAUUUAUAUAUUGAAAAGUUAAUAAUAUUCAAUUCGUUAUUUAAUAAAGUUAAUAAUAUUCAAUUCGUUAUUUAAUUAUAUCAUCCCUAAUUAAUUAUUAUAAGUCAUCUAUGUAUUAAAAAAUUAAUAAUAUUUAAUUAAAAAUAUAAAAUAAAUAUUUAUAACAUGUCUGCUUCAGCUGUUUCAAUCAUGAUUUUGCUAUAUCACCCCUAAAUAUUAUUAUAAAUUAUUUAUAUAUUAAAAAAUUAAUAAUAUAUAAUUAAAAAAAUAGACAGUUAUAACAUAUCUGCUUCAGCUGUUUCAAUCAUAUUUUUACUAAAUAUUACUCUUAGUUAAUUAUUACAAGUCAUUUAAGUAUUAAAAAUUAAUAAUAUUUAAUAAAAAAGGUAAAAUAGAUAUAAAAAUGACAAAUUAACUCGUGAUGUUUUAAAUUAACUUGACGUCUUAUAUAAGAUCCACUCAAAUUUUUUUCACGGGUAUUUUUGUAGUAAUUUUACUAUGUUACUUCUAAUUAGUCAUUGUAAGUCAUUUAAGACAUUUAUGUUUUGCUACUCAAUCGCGAUUUUACUAUAUUACCUCUAAUUAAUUAUUAUGACCAUAUAAGCUUUGUGUCACUUAAAUUUGAACAAAAGAAAUAUUAUAAAGUACAAUAAUUAAAAAUUUAAAUUAUUAAAAAAAUAUACUUGACUAUCAACGACACAAAAUUCUGGACAAGAAGAGUAACAUAUAUUAUUCAAAAAUUACACAAAAGUAUUAUAAAUUACAAUAGUUAACCGCUUAAAAUAUCUAAAAAUAAUUUAAUUUGUUAUAUAUUUCAAGAAAAUAUGUAAAAAAAAUUAUAAAUCACAAUAAUUAACAACUUCAAAAAAAAUUAAAAAUAUAAAAUAUUCGGUUGACUCUCAAAAUUAUAUUAGUAUCACUUAAUUAUAAUAGAAGAAAAGUAUUAUAACUCACAAAAAUUUAAAACUUAAAUUAUUUUACAAAUAUAAUUGGUUAUCAAUACCACAAAAGUUUGGACAAGAAAAAUAAUGUAUAUUAUUUGAAAAUUAAAUAAAAAUUAUGAUAAAUCAUAAUAGUUAACAACUUAAAUUAUCUAAAUACAUAUUAAAAGUAUGAUUGAUUAUCUAUAUUCUAUUUGUGUCAUAUAAACUCAGAAAAAACCAACAUGUAUUGAACUCGUGCUAAAUCUCCGAUGAAUUUUAGAAUGUAUAUGCAAUCUUCUUUUAAAAAAAAAAUGUUUAAAUAUAUCAAGAUUGAAAAGACAAGUUAUAAUACAGCACAUCAAAUAGUGUAUAAGAAAUAAUAUUAGUAUGAAUAAUACCAGCAUUACUAAUACAAGCAUUAAUAAUGCAAACAUUACUAAUACAUUCUAUUUCAAAAUUAUUUUUAUACACUCUAACAAAUGACUCCUACGUUUCAAUGAAAAGAACAUAUACAAAAGCAAAUUUCGAUAAAAAUAUUUAAAGAAGUAUGUUUAAUUGUGUUCUUAAAGUCAAAUAGCUUAAAUUAAAAACUUAUACUUUUUUUUUUAUAUAUAUAAUUUUCAAAACACUUAAAAUUUAAAUUUUAAAUAUUAAUUUAAUUUUAACUUCAAAGAAUAAGUUGACAAAUAAAAAAAAGGAGAAAUGAAAGUAAAGAAUGUUUAUGUCGGCUUAGUGGGGGAAUACAAUGCAAUUUAACCUAUUAGUUACAACUCACGUGUAAUGUAAUAUGCAAUGACUAGAUAAUCAUUUAUCUUUUUCAAUAAUUAUUCUCUAUUUUAUACAACAGGUAUCAAGUCCUAUGCAUCAAUUUUAAUCUCAUAUUUUAUGUUUAAAGUAACAAAUUUCAGUCAUAUGAUUAAAGAUCUGAACUUCAAAAUGCAUAAAAUUUUGUUAUUUGUAUGAGUAAGUUAUACAUGAUUAUCUUGUGGAAUAAUUUAGCUCCUUCAAAAAUACUAUCAAACAGUUAAUAUGUUUUGUGUAUCCAUGUUUUAUAAUUCACAGUGACAUUAAUCUAUCUUAUGGUACAUAAUUAAAAUAUCUUAAUGCACGGGCCAUGCUACUCUAGUUAUACUAAUACAUAGUAUAAAAUACAAAACAAUUAAGUCAUGUACGGAAAUUCUUAAACCUCACAAGUCACAAGUGAUAAUCACUUUUUUUUAAAAUGACAAUGAUAUCCUAAUCAAUUUGCGUGCAUUUAUUAAUCUUGUAUUUAUUACUGUUAAACUUUAAGAUUAGCGUGUUAUCAGAUACUUCGCGAUUAGAUAUUUAGUUAGAUUCAAUUUUUUAAUAGGAAAAAAAAUUUUGGCCACAUUAGCAAAAAGAUUUAUUCAUAGUAUAAACUAGUUUUUUUGGGACAUUUUUGCCCCUCUCAUCCUAAAUUUAAAAUUCUAUCAUUACUUAUGUAUUAUUAUUUUUUAAUACAUUGGAAACUAUCCUAAUACAUAAUAAUGGACAAGUUAUCAUGAUUUUCGUAAACAUGAUUGCAUAGUAUGUAUUGCUUGAAAAGAAUGUCUAGAAUAAAAAUAAUGAUAUAAAAUUAAUUAAUUAUAUUUUCAUACAGCCAAAAUAAAUGUGACCAAAGUAGUAUUGUCUAAAAUUUUAAUUUAACAUAAUAUACUUAUGUUAAAUUAAUAUAUAUAUUUUUUAAAAAAACUAAUUUAUUUUUUUUUUGGAAAAAAUGUCUAAAAUAAUAAUGAUAUAAAAUUAACUAAUUAUAUUUUCAUAUAGCCAAAAUUAAUGUGACAGUGGAAAUUCUAAUUUAACACAAUAUACUUAUGUAUCAUAUUUACUUAAUUAUUUAUUUUAUCAUAUAAAUAAUUCUUAAUUUUUUUAUUCUUUUAUUUGAAAUCUUAUGUCUCUUCUAUUUUAUGAGUGAGAAUUUCAAUUGUUUUGCAUUAACACAUUAUAGACUGCCAAUGGAUUAAUAUACAUUAGUUUGUUAGUAUUUACUGGUCAUGUUGAAGUUAUUUAUAUAGUCUGUUUUUCUUCUUUUUCUUCUUCUUUUUUCAGUUAUUUUUUGUUGAAACCAAAUCAUACCAAUCAAAUUUUUAGUGAUCUCUAAAAUUAAAGUUAAAAUCGAACCAAAUAAAGAUAUCAAUUUUUUCCUUGAUUUGAUUUCUUCUCCUCUCUCCCUCUUAAAUUAACACCCUCACUUGACAUAUUUUAAUAACCUAUAAAUCAAUGUUUUGGUGUAAAUUAAUAUUUUUUAUUCAAUAGGUGGAAGGAGGACAGACUUAAUCUAGAUGGAAUUUGGAAGGAAUGUAUUUUAAACUAGGGAAUUUUCGGUCCUUUUUUGUAAUGUAGAUCUUGAAGUAAAAAUUCUUUUGGCCAUGCACGAUGGACACAAUAAUAUUUGAAUGUUUAUUCACACUACAACUCGAUUUUUUGGCUACAUUUUUACACUUUUUCAAUUUAAAUUUUUCUCAAUAGUUUAUUAACUAUUUUCAAUAUAUGGUACAUAUUAUAAAAAUCAUAAAAUUACAUUGUUCAUAUGUGUUGACUAUUGCUAUUGCUAGCAACAACUCAAGAGAGUCACGUGUUAAUGUGUAGUCUUGCUCCCGUAUGGUAUGUUGAUUUUUGAUAAUUUUCUAAUCAUUACUUAUAUUUGUUAUUAAAUUGAUCUUUAAAAAAAAAUGGAGGGACGAGAAAGAAAAUAGGGGAGGAGAUUAUAAUGUUGGGAAUCGAACCCUCACCAACAAGGUAGAGCCCAAGUAACUAACCAACUAAGCUGCUAAAAUUCUCUCUAUUAAAUUGAUCUCUACUAAAGUUAUUUUAUUAAUUAUUAUGCUUAAAUAAAUUUAAACUACAUAUUUAUAUUUUAAUAUAAUUUAAAAUAAUAACAACCGUUAUAACUUAAAACACUUUAGACAUGAUAUACAUUCACACAGUAUACGAAUCUUAAAAAUCAUAUAACUCACAUAUGUUGAUCAUAGUAACAACUCAAUUCACAUAUUAAUGUUGUAGUGUCUUGACACUAUUAUAUUAUGUCAAUUUGAUAACUUGCGAUCAAAUCAUUACUUAUUGUUUUGCGAAAAUUUUGACCUUUUAAGAUACCUUAAACGAUCCAAAACAGAAAAAUCAUUUAAAAUUUAAAGAUUCUGAGCAAGCAAUUUCUAUUAACGUUCUAGGAAGGUUUAAGACACCUAAAACAUCCGCUAGCUUGAGGUUAUCCGAACUGUAUGAAAACAUCUUUUGAUUAAUCUUCAAAACAGAUUGAUUUGUUGAAAAGUGAUCAAUUUUUUAUCAAAUACUUGUGUAAAAUAAAUUUAGGCGACUUAGUUUGAAUUUUAACUAGGUCUAAACAAAACUAAUAAUCAAAUAAACACAUAAAAGGAAAAAGAGAGGUGAAAGUAAAAGAUUUAAGCCAUUGGGCUCGAAUCAACGUGACCUGUCCUAGUCUAAUUUAAUUGGACUUUCGAUCAAUUUCACCUGUCCUAAUCUAGUUUUCGAGCCUUUUGGCUCGAGUUUUGCUCCAUCCGUAUUAAAUUUACAACUUUGACUUCGAGGUCCAAAAUGAAUAAAUAAUGAAAUAAAGGAAUAAAUAAAUACAACAAUAAAUGACUAAAUAAAUAAACAAAUACAUGAAAAAUUAGACUUUCAAGUCUCUUGGCCGCUUCAAAGAUGAACUUUAACUCAUUUUUCUUCUUUCGACUCUUUGUAUCCAUAUGCCAUGUGAUUGUCUUCUGAAUUGUCUUUCAAAAGUCUUCUAAAAAGGAGUGGGCCUCAAUGGCCCAUUGCGCAAUGCAAGAGGAAAGAGUCCCUUUGGACUCACAAACGAGUUCAUGUAAAGAAAAAGAUAAAGGAAUUAAUAUCCAUUCAAAGCACAAAAUGACAUGCUUCAAGGUAAAAUAAAAUAUCAAAAGCUAAUUUUCGAACGACAAUGAUGGGCAUACUCAUGCAUAUAUGAUAAGAAUGAGAGUCAAAAGAUGAAAGGCAGAGCAAGAACACAACUCGAGUAUAUAGCUAAUCAAAGGGAGUAAAAAGACUAAAGUGAGAGUUUAACAUCUCUAAAGUAAACACCGUUUGAGGAUCGCACUAUGCACAAUUCGAAAAUAAAUAAUUCUAAUUAGCCAUAAAAGUUGGAACAAGCCUUUAAGGCACCGAAAAGGGAAAGCACGGAUGUUUUACAGAGAAAAGGGGAAAAGAAAAGGAGAACAAAGAUGAAAGGGCAAAUUAUGAGUUUCAAAUCAACGGAAACUUUUCUUUGAUCACGGCCUUACAAAAUCCUUAAAGGUCUUAGGCCAUGAGCAUGCAUAGGCAAAAAUAUUGUCGAGAUAACUAUAUUCAAACAAGCGACAACUUGGAUUCUACUAAUCAUAGCCAACACAAGGUACCCAAACCCAUUAAACAAGUGAUUCAAAUAUCGAAGAAAUAAUGACGUAGAAGACCGCGCUUAGCAAAUGGUGUUAAAUAACCAACAAGAAGAAAAUUUUCAAUCCAUUUUAAUGAAAUAGUUCUAACAUUGAAGCUUCUAUACCCACAAAUCCUUAGGACCGCUUAUAACAUCUCAAAUACCAUAAGACACAAGCAUAUGUACCAUAGCAAAAAUCUAAGAAACUUAACACAACAUAUUUGAUGUUUUGCACCGAUGUAACAAAAAGAACAGUAGGCAAAGGGUAAUUCUACCACUAGUGCAUAUGAUUACUUUUAUGGCAGGCGCAAAAGAGGAUAAUUUUCAAGCUUCUGAACUCAACUAAACAUCCAAAAAAGUAGCAUUACUCAAACAAAAUCUACCGCCUGUUAAAGUUCAUGGAAAACAGAAAAGGGAUGAAAGCUUGUGUAGAGUAACAACUAACACCAACAAACAAAUCAUUCAAUACAAAAAAAAAUAAAAAAAAAUGGAACGAACAAUUUAUCAAGAGAAGAAACAAUAUGUGGUUAGACUUAAGCAAAAGUUUCGUCUAGUGGCACGGUGAUUCAAAACAAAAUUUAAACUAAGAGAAAAAAUCGAGAAGCUAACCAAAAAACAGUGAGCACAAGACUACGACUAAAACAACGACGUGUUAAAAUAUACUACAAACAAGAUUUUCAUCACGUAAUCUAUGGCCUCAAGACCUAGAAACAACAGCUAAUCCCCAGCAAGCAAAGCUACGACUAUAAAACUACGACUACAAAGAAAGAGGCUAAGAGGAAAACGAUGACAGAACUAAAGAGAAAAGGAAUGUUUACCUCUUUCGGGGGAGCAAAAUGAGACAACGAACUAACGUUGGGAUAUCGAUCACCACCGAAGGACUUUGCCGCGACUACGAAAGCUCCAAAGCAGUCCCGACCCUUCUCCGGGAAAAGAAAAAUUAUACUCCAAUAGAAAGUUAACUCGUUUUUCUCAACUCAGAAUAAUUUUCACCUCCCUUUUUCCCUUUUUUCUUAUGUUUUUUUGCUUCGAAAAAUCCCCCCCUCGGCGCAACAGUGAGCUCCCCUUUUAUAGGAAACCAUUGAGGGUCUCCUCUUAUGUUGGGACGAUGUGGGAAUCCCCAAAAACAAGGGUAAUUUUGGGAACUUAUAAUAGGGAAUUCAAAAUUUGAACUCAAGAUAGCGUUUUCCACCAACAAAUUGUAUGAAUUUUGGGAUUUUUUGAACAAAUUUGAAAAGAUUGGCCAAUAAAAUUGGGGAAAUCCGAAUCAGGACCAAGGACCAAUGAAAUCCCAACAAAUACGUAUGGAUUGUACGAAUUUGACCAUUGGGGAAGCCACCUCGGCAUUUCUAGCAUAUUCUCGAACAAAGCCCGCGUGGGACGCCUGAGGAAAAUUAAAACCAGUUGAUUGCGGGUUGUUGGUAUCGGGUUGCUGUUCGGAUUGGAGGUCGGGUCUGGUUUCGGGUCGGCGUUGAUCGGUUUUUGUGCGUUGUUGUCGAUAUUGUUGUUUGAUCUGUUUGUUGUUGCUGUGCGUUAUUUCCCUUAAAGGAGAAGAUGGAGUAAAGUGGGCCGGAUCAUGGACUGGUUUGGGCUGAAAUGGUUGAAAUGGGUUUUGCUGAAUCAAAAAAGGAUUAGAGGGGUUUGGGCCGAUCCAGAUCAAUUAGUAUUGGGCCUGUUUAUUUCAAAUGCCAUUGGGCUACUGGUUAAUUUUAGGGUUAAAUUGGUAGAUUAGGAAUGUCAAAAUUUUGGGGGUUAUUUAAAACAUAACCCCCAAUUAAAAUUUAGGAUUUAGCCGAUUUUAAUUAAUAUUUGAUCAAAUUGAAAAUUAAAUUGGUCAAUUGAAUUGCAAUUGUGGUCAAUUUGAUUUUAAUUGUGGUCGAAUUUAAUAAAUUGACUAGAUCGAAUCGAAAUUCGAUAUGAAUUAAUACCUCGUUCAAUCCCGAGCUUCUUGAUUUAAUAAACUCA